CGGGGGGAGCAAGCGUUGUUCGGAUUUACUGGGCGUAAAGGGCUCGUAGGCGGCCACCGCAAGUCGACUGUGAAAUCUCCGGGCUUAACCCGGAAAGGUCAGCCGAUACUGCGGGGCUAGAGUGCAGAAGGGGCAACUGGAAUUCUCGGUGUAGCGGUGAAAUGCGUAGAUAUCGAGAGGAACACCUGCGGCGAAGGCGGGUUGCUGGGCUGACACUGACGCUGAGGCGCGAAAGCUAGGGGAGCGAACGGGAUUAGAUACCCCGGUAGUCCUAGCCUUAAACGAUGAAUGCUUGGUGUCUGGGGUUUUAUAGUCCCCGGGUGCCGUCGCUAACGCUUUAAGCAUUCCGCCUGGGGAGUACGGUCGCAAGACUG
This 374-nucleotide ribosomal RNA is filed under the name uncultured organism. RNAcentral's name for it is "bacterial SSU rRNA". It matches the Rfam family "Bacterial small subunit ribosomal RNA", at positions 526 to 896 of the family's 1533-position model. The record is from RNAcentral.